AAGUCGAACGGUAACAGGAAGAAGCUUGCUGUUUCGCUGACGAGUGGCGGACGGGUGAGUAAUGUCUGGGAAACUGCCUGAUGGAGGGGGAUAACUACUGGAAACGGUAGCUAAUACCGCAUAACGUCGCAAGACCAAAGAGGGGGACCUUCGGGCCUCUUGCCAUCGGAUGUGCCCAGAUGGGAUUAGCUUGUUGGUGGGGUAACGGCUCACCAAGGCGACGAUCCCUAGCUGGUCUGAGAGGAUGACCAGCCACACUGGAACUGAGACACGGUCCAGACUCCUACGGGAGGCAGCAGUGGGGAAUAUUGCACAAUGGGCGCAAGCCUGAUGCAGCCAUGCCGCGUGUAUGAAGAAGGCCUUCGGGUUGUAAAGUACUUUCAGCGGGGAGGAAGGGAGUAAAGUUAAUACCU
Molecule: ribosomal RNA, 413 nt
Filed under: Escherichia coli
Lineage: Bacteria; Pseudomonadati; Pseudomonadota; Gammaproteobacteria; Enterobacterales; Enterobacteriaceae
Description: bacterial SSU rRNA
Rfam family: Bacterial small subunit ribosomal RNA
Source: RNAcentral